CUAGGGAGGCUUGAUUUCCUCAGAGACAUCUCUUCUAGUUUCAGUCUCCCACCCUGGGGAUAGAGCCAUGGAAGCUGACCAAGUAUGAGCUACUAAAUGCUGGCUACAAGAAGUGCGAUGAAUACAUUGAAGCCCUGAACACAGGCAAGCUGCAGCAGCAGCCAGGCUGCACUGCUGAGGAGACACUAGAGGCCCUGAUCCUGAAGGUGCUGUCUGUGAUCCAGGACCACCCUAGCAGAGCCUGCCUCCAAGAGCUAGACAAGAGCAACAGUUCCUUCACCAUGGCCCUGUGUGGCUCCAAAGGCAAGGUCUUUCUCAGCUGCCCAAACUGGCCUUGAAUAUGUUCUGCAGCCAGGCA
Peromyscus californicus insignis is the source of this 358-nucleotide long non-coding RNA. RefSeq lists it as uncharacterized. The record is from RefSeq and is a predicted model, not a curated record. Lineage: Eukaryota; Metazoa; Chordata; Mammalia; Rodentia; Cricetidae. The transcript is spliced from 3 exons.